This 508-nucleotide ribosomal RNA is filed under the name uncultured bacterium. Its description in RNAcentral is "bacterial SSU rRNA". It matches the Rfam family "Bacterial small subunit ribosomal RNA", at positions 28 to 507 of the family's 1533-position model. The record is from RNAcentral.
GAUGAACGCUAGCGACAGGCCUAACACAUGCAAGUCGAGGGGCAUCGGGGUGUAGCAAUACGCUGCCGGCGACCGGCGGAUGGGUGAGUAACGCGUAUGCAACCUGCCUUCAGCAGGGGGAUAGCCCGUUGAAAGACGGAUUAAUACCCCAUAACACAGGGGCUCCGCAUGGAGAUUAUUGUUAAAGGGAUACUUCCUUCGGGGGGUAUUCCGGCUGAAGAUGGGCAUGCGUUCCAUUAGGUAGUUGGUUGAGGUAACGGCUCACCAAGCCUGCGAUGGAUAGGGGAACUGAGAGGUUGGUCCCCCACACUGGUACUGAGACACGGACCAGACUCCUACGGGAGGCAGCAGUGAGGAAUCUUGGUCAAUGGACGGAAGUCUGAACCAGCCAUGUCGCGUGAAGGAGGACGGCCCUAAGGGUUGUAAAACUUCUUUUGCAGGGGAAUAAAGUAUUCCACGAGAUGGGAUAUUGCAAGUACGCUGCGAAUAAGGAUCGGCUAACUCCGUG